AGUUACAGAUGGGGCUUCUAACCUUGUGGCAGCUGGAGAAUGUUAAUGGAAAAGAGAACCAAAUUAUUUUGGUCCCCAUAUAGGCACACACUUCCAGUACUUUUGUUUUUACAGUUCUUUGGUGGGAGAGUUAUGGGGGAGAAGAAGGUAAAGAGUUACAAAAGGGAGCCAUGAAAAUUUUGAGCCUCACAUGUAGUGCAACAGGGUAUGAAAAGAAUUGGAGCACAUUUGACCAAGUGCAUACUAAGAGAAGAAAUAGAUUGGAACAACAAAGAUUAAAUGCUCUUAUGCGUGUGAAGUACAAUCUUCAGCUUGAGAUGAGACAAAAGGGAAGAGAAGGAGGAAACUUAUGAUCCCAUAUGUUUGUCGGAUAUUGAAUUGGAUGAUGAAUACAUCACUGAAAAGGAAAAUUCUUGUUUGCCUAUUGAUUCCUCAUGGAUGGAUGCACAUGAGUGCUUUGCUGUUGAAGAGGAAACUCCAAGUAAAAAAAAAGGAAGCGAGGUAAUUAUGUCUAUUUAGAAACUUUAGAAGUUAGAACUUGAAAUGUAAGUUCAACAAACUAGAACUAAAAUUUAUUUGUUUUUCUUUUACUAAUAUAAGUCCUAGAAACUUAAAUGCCAAGACCAAUAAAAAUGGAAAAUCCAUAGUAGGAGAUGAGGAAGAAGUUGAGGACAUUGAAGGGGAAGAGCUUUUAAUAGAAGAUGAAGAUGACUUAAGUGAUGUAGAUCUUGGAGAGGAAGAGGAUGGAAUAUGAAUGACUAGGAUAUAAUUUUUAUUUUUUUUUGAGAUUGUUUAGUAUGUACAAGCAACAACCAUAGUCUGCCGUAAUUAUGUGGUAGCAGCAACAACACUUAUUUUGAGGAAGACUAUAAUGCAAAUUUGUUUAGUAGCAUAUAGCCAUGGUUAUAGAAAUCUUAUGCACCAACCACACCUUUUUUGAAGGUUGUGUUGCUGAAAUUGUGUAGUAAAUACACAGAUACAACCACUUUUUUUGAUUGAGGUUGAUUUCUUAUUAAUUGUAUCUUUGCAUGUUUAUACAUCUUAUAUAUUUAAGUAUAUGUUACAUUUUUUCAAUGUUUAUGAAUCUUACUAUUCACGAUAUAAAACAAUUCAUGAGUCAAAAUAUAAGCUCUCUGAUACAUAAUUUGUAUCUCGAUUCAACUACCAUGCCCAAAACUAACAUCAUAACCAAGGUAGAUGCUGAUAAAAACAGAAAGGAAGGAUGUAGGCAUCUUCCAUAUGUGUUGCCUUGGUAUUAAAAUUCAACAUUUAUGAAAAAUCCAGACUUUCUAUGCUAACUAAAUACUGAAUAUACAAGAAACCAUUCUUACAUUCAAAUUUCUUGGAUGAAUAACUACUUAAAUAAAGCAAUAUAAGCAUUAAAAUCAGAGAAAUAAAAAAAAUAUAUAAAAUGUACCAGAGGCCCCUAUUCGGUUGAGGUAGACCAAAGUUGCAAUGACCAUUCCAGUUGUGGUUCGACCACGCCCCAUUUGACAAUUAAAAAUUAUCUCCGUGUCUACAUCAGCUUGAGAAAUUUUAUUAACCUAAAAUAAAUAAAUAAAUAUGAAAAGUAUGAGUUUUCAAUGUCAAUAAAUAUUGUAUGAAAUAUAAAAGCUACGAGUCCUAACAAUUAAGCACUGUUCAGCAGCAUCAGCAGCAGCUCAAUGACAAGACAAUAGAGAAGGACACUACAUCACCCAACCCCUUGAUGCACCAAAAGAAUAUGUAUGCAGAAAGUGAUACCAAAUGUGAUAGAGCAUAACAAAUACACACAAAAUACUAACCAAGAUAUCAAAAUCCAUUUCCUUUGGAGAUUUUUCAUCAGUUAUAGGAACGCGUUCAUAAUCAACAAGAUAUCCCGCUACUUGCAAUUCCUCAUACACCUACAGCAAAGAAAAAACCUUGAUGCAUUUGUAUCAGAAAAUUGAUCAAGAAAUCUCAAACUGCCAUCAUAUACUAGUUUCAGCCAUACCUCUAGUGGUGUCUUCACAGAAUUACAUGACACCGGCUCCCAUUGGUCCACCAUCUGCCCAUCUGGCAGUUCAUCAGUCACAAGAAUCUUAUUUCCAUAUCUGUCGUAUCCAUGUGCAAAUAAGAUUAACAGUAAAGCAUAAAGAAAACCACAGAUUCACAGGACAAGCACGGAGCAAAGCCACAAAAAUACCUUGCUGCCUCCACCAGGAUGUCUUCUUUCAAACGAGCUUCCAUUUGUUCAACCCUUUCUCUGUUAAUUCCCUAAUCAAGUACAGAAUGCCCCACAAGUUAACGGACUCAAUUCAAACCAACUUGCAGUGUAAGCAUCAGCUAAAUUGAAAGCCAGCACAGAACUGAUAUGCACCGCCAUAACAUACCGUAUACUCAAGGUUUGAGAACGGCCUCUCCACAUCACGCAAAACAAAAGGACGACCAUUAAUGUAGGCAAGCUGAUUCCAACAAAGGAAGGAAAUAAUAAGUAAGGAGAAAACAUUAUCACAAACAUCCAGCAUCAAACUAACAAUACUUAGCCUAAACUCAAGUACUACUCAUGCAACACAGGAGUUAGUUUUAAAAACCCAAACUCCUUGAAGUCAGCCAUAGGUUAAAUUAAAAUAAAAAUAUAACACACCGGUUCCUCACGAAGGCUAAUCCAGAGAACUUUCAAUCGAGCACCAAUGUGGUCGAGAACGUUUCGAAUUCCAUCAAUGGUUGGAAUGGCAACACCGUGAACAUGCAACGAGUCCGAUGCCUAACAACAACAACAACAACAACAACACUAACUACCUGAUUAAAAAAAAUUAUAAAAAAAAAAAUAGAUGAAUUAGCAGAAGACGAAAAGACGAAGAAGACCUACCUGUCGAUAAUUGGGAGCGCCUUCGAUCUGAGGCGACAAACGUUUGUUCUGGCAACCAGGGAAAUGGUCGCUCUUUAGAAUCGUCCUCUUCCCCAAGACACCUCCUCCUCUCAUCUUCAUCACCUGCUCCGGCUCCUUCGGUAUCUGCGACAUCGAACCAACUCACUCUCUUCUCUUCCAAUUGCAAAUCCAAACACCCAAGUCUUCACCACGCUACUCGUUUCUCUCUACCCUCACACACACACACAACACUUCUCACAAUUGCAACUGAAUUUUUCUCUCUCUACCUCCCGCGGAUUUCCAAUUAUCUUACAUAAUUAUUUAUCUCAUAGCUUCUCCUCACUUUACGACUUACUCAAUUUCUGAAACCAACACCAACAACGUGAAAGACGUGAGUGAGUGAAGAGUGACGACGAAAGCCGUGUGAGCUCAAUGUGAUCGAGCUUAUAAACACGAAUCUUCCCUGAUUUUAUUUCUUUGUUAAUCAACCUGUUUAACGUGUUUGCUUAUUUAAUUCUCAUUAAUAUUAUUCUCAUUUUUAAAAUUAAAAAUACAAAAGCACUUCUUAUUUCUCAGGUUGCGAUUAAUGCUUAACUUAUAGCUUAUGCUGUGGAUAUUCUCUUCCCUGUCUCGUUUGCGCUUUCUCCCUCCACCUUACCACCUUUUUCCUUCUCAACGACCCAUUUAUAUUCACCACACAAAAAAUUCUCACCUACACAAAUUUAUUACGCAAAGGAAUAAAAUAUACGCUCAUAUCUUCUGGAUAAUGCUGCAACUCAAAUGGAUUUGAUGAUUCAUCGUUAUCGUACACACUUAUUUAUGUGCAACUAAAAUAUCAAAAACGAAACUAACUUUUUCCUUCUUUCAUUAAGUUAAUCAAAGUAAUUUACAAAUUAUUAAAGUGACUAACCUAUUCCUAUAAUCUACUAAAAAAGUAAUUAAUUAAUUAAUGUUUAUACACAUGGGAUAAAAUUUAUCCAAUGAAAUACCACAAUUUAAAAAUUCCAUUACGUGGCCGAAUGACUGGUCCAUUAAUUUAUGUGUAUACACGUGACCGAAUGACUGGUUCAUUAACUAUACAAAAUAAAAUAAAAAAGAAUUCAAAAUCGUUAAAUUCAUACAGAGGAAACAAAAGUGCGGAUAAAAUCUGUUUGAAUGUAUUUUCCAAUAACACAUUUUGAAUCCUGAAUUUAAUUUAAAAUGUUUUUUUUACUAUGACAGACAGAGUUUAUGUGUAGAUAAAGAACAUCUAACGAACUCAAAAUGACAAAUAAUUUAUAAUUAACGUGAAUUAAUACACCUAAUUAAUUCUUAAUUUUAGAAUAAAACAAAAUUAACCUAAAAAUCAUGAUAAUUUUAGAUUCAAUAUAAACAAUAUUCUUGUUAUAAUCUUUUGCAACUGUCUUCAUUCUAAUUGAGAUUAAAAAAAUAAAAAUUCUAAAAGAACUGAUGGUGGAAGAUACUAGUGUUUAUCAAGAUAGAGAGAAGACGACUCUAAUCCAUUAAAAAAACAGAUUUUAAGAAGAAAAAAAAGGUAUAUGUAAUAAAACUUAUUAGUUUUUACAAAUUAUUUUAUCAAUUUUCUGCAAAACGUAUAAUUUAGUUACUUAUAUUAAUGUAUAUUUCUUGCAUUUUAAUUUCUUAUAGAAUUGCAUAAUUCUAACGUAUUAUUUUGAUUUUCAUUUUCUAUGAAAACUUGUAAUUUUUAAUGGAAAUUGUUAUGUUUUAUUAAAAUUUAAAUGUAAAUAUUAUGAUAUAUUUCAUUGCAAUUUUUUUGUUUAAUUUGAAUGGUAAUAAACUUUAUAUAGCAAUAAUUUUGUGUUUUGAUCUUAUAUGUAAAUUUCUAAUGGUUAAUGGAAUGAUUGAUUUUAUUAAAAUUUAAAUUUAAAUAUUAUGACAUGUUUCAUUUAUAUUUGUAUGGUUAAUUUUGAAUGUUAAGAAUAUAAAAGUGAUGUUUUCUUUUAGUAGUUGAAAUUUUAUAGUUACUAUAUCGAUUAAACUAUUAAUCUAUUGGCCACAUGUUCAACGACCAUAUAAAAAAAAUAAAAAAAAACAAAUAUAUAUAAUAAUAAUAAUAUUUUUUAAAAAUAACGUGAUCCUCCAAAAAAAAUUGCAUAGAAAAAGUCCCGUGCUUUACAUAACUAUCCACUUGUUACAUCACACGUGUAGAUAAUGAAUUGAGUCAAGAUCCAAUCUUUUAAUGUCAAUAUUUUGAACUCCAACUUCAAACCUAAACAAAAUUAUUUAAUAAUGCUAAUAUUAAUAUUAAUAAUGAAAUUAUUAUUAUUUAUUUAUUUUUUCCCAUUAAUUAAACAUGUAUUUAAAAUAUUUAAUUAUUAAAACAUUACAUAAUAUAGUAUAUUUUUAAAAAAAUAUUAUUCUAGAAUAUGUAAUUAAAAAAAUAUUUUGAAAUUAUAAGGUUUUAUGAAAAAAUUCAAAACGUUUAAACCAAUAAACUCAACCUAAUAUAACUCGAGAAUAACUUUAUUCGAAUUAAGUAUAAUAAUAAAAAGCAGAUAAAUCCAAUUUAAUUCAAAUUUUAUUAGGUUAAAUGGUGGAUUUGUUGAAACCACGUCAUUCAUAUUAAAAUAGGUAGAUAAUAUCAAUGGAAUAAAGAAACGUGGAAAAAAUGGCAAUUAGUGGGUCCCGAGAUUAGUUGGUCCAAUGGCCAAGAAUAUUUUAGAGGGCCCAACAAACAUGCCUCAUUAAUUAGUUUCUCACAACAAUAUAAUAAAAAAAUUAACUUACAAAAUAAGCUGCCACUGCCUGAUUCUGAGUAAGCAAUUUUGAACCCAAAUUAGAGUUAAAAUUCCCCGUUUCUAGGUUUAAAUAUACGAACAAAUUAAGAAUAAAAAUAUAUAAAUGGAGGACAGUUCUUAUCUUGUAAAAUGUAGAAUUGAAUUUAAACUAAACCCAAAUUAUAAUGAUAGAUAUUAUUUUGUUUUGUUUAACUAAUCAACAUUGUUAGUUUUCAAUUGUAUUUUUGUUUGCCAAAACAAAAUAGUUACUUGUGUUGUUACGUAAGUUGCACACUAUCUAUAAAUAAUAACACAGCUGAAUGAAAUAAUGCGCGUGUGAAGGGGUAAUGGAAGUGAAAUAAAUUAAUGGAAAGUUGUAAGAGAGAACGUGAAGGACGUGGUGGGGAGCAACUGGUUUUAUAAUUACUUUGAACUGAUUUCACCAUAAAGAAAUUGACUAGUGAAUGCUUACACACAAAUGACAGAGGUUUUCUUAGGUGAAGUUGGGUUUUAGAUGCAAUUAAUUAAUGUCUUAACGACCCAUUUGCUGUGUUGUUUUAAGAAAGCAGCGUAGAUUCUCUCACCACCUUUACACCCUCUUUUAGGAGCACUGUUCCAUCACUUUCAUUCUUUAUUUGUGAAAGCAACAUGUGUAAAAAAAAAUAUUCAGAAAAGAAAAACUAGAGACAAAAGCAGGUGUCACUUCACUCUCAUUCUUUCAGAGGUUGUGAAAUUAUCCUAUUCAUGGCAAAUUAGCCAAAAUUGGUGGCACUUUGUCAAGAGUGUCGCAUAAGGAAGUGCCAUCAAUUUCCUGUUAAAAUGAGGUAGGUUGCGUUGCGUAACGAGGAAGAGGUCUUGGAUCGUAGUACGUUGGGGAGAGGUACAUAGCAAUUAUUUGAGGAGUAGAGUAGGGUGGAAUAGAGUAGAGAGACCCUUUUUGUUAAGUUGUCAACUUCAUUUCCCUCUGCAUGCACUCACACUCAGUCACGUUGUGCUUUGUUUAUCUGGAUAACUAAUGGAGACAACCACACAUGCACAUCUAAAGAUCUUCUGAACCACCAUUUGCUUUUCCACCUGCUAUACACAUUACUGCAAUACCACUGUUAGAUCUAAGAAAUAAAACAAAAUUGUACUUCCAUGCUCAACUUUUUAACCAAUUUCCUCCUUUAUUUUCUAACUCUUACGGUUAAGUUAAUUUGAUUAGUUCCAAGUAUUAAUGCUUAUAUGUAUAAUUGUUAUUUCAGCUCAAAAUAUUGUCUUGUGUAGUUUCCUUAUUCCUUAUUAAAUGUAGAAUUUUUUAACAAAAAAGCCUUUAUUUAUCUGUCAUUAUCAAAAUUCAUUGCUGUGUUCUCUUGUAAGUAUAGUAUCUUUUGUUUUUUUUGUUUUUAUUUAAAUCUCAUUUUCAAAAUUCAAAACAAUAUUAAUUAUUCUCUUACUAUUUAUACCCUGAUCUUUCGUAUAAUUUUUAAUUAGUUUAUCUAUGCAUAUUUAUUAUUAUAUAAAAAAAAGUAAAACAAAAAAUCUUAUAAAUAUUUUAUUACUUCUAAAAGAAAGUUAAACGGAAUUGUGGAAGUAAUAUUUUGUACAAGUAACUGAUCUUGUACACGGCGGGGGGGGGGGGGGUGGGGGGGCUUGUAAACCAAGAAAAACAUCAUUACCACAUACUUUGAACAUAGUAAUCAUAAAAGUAGCGUGUUUCAUCCUACAGGCAGCAUUUAGUGCUGAUUUUUCGAUUUCAAUACCCAUACAUAAUAACAUAAUUGACAAGGUCAGCGUCAGCAUUUACAUUCAGAAUGAAACAGCAGCGUCAGCAUCCAUAUCAGUCACCUCUCUUACGAGGUUUUUGGUAGAAGGCAAACCAGCAGUUACCUCCUCUUCAAUCCCGCAUUCGUUUGUCCCCCUUCGGAUCUUGAAGUAACCAUCCUGCGGUUAAGAUUAAAUUAGUCCAUCAUUAGCUAAGACACAACUUAAGUAACAGACAUUCCAGUUGAAGAAAUAAAUCAAGAAACAUACAUCUCCCCAUUCUCUGUUCCACUGAUUUGCGAGAAGCUGAAACAAUGAAAAGUAUCCAAUCAGUAUAUAAAUCUGAAUUUCAGAUAGUAUCCCCCAGGGAACUGAAAUGUAAAUAAGGAACAUAUCAACAUACCCAAUAGUCUUGUCCAUCAUCAGUUGUUCCCCACCCAAUUAGCUUCACUGCAUGACCGCCUAGUGCAUAACCUGUGACGUGUUUGUAAACUCCUGACUUGUAAUGAGCAAAAUCCUGUGAAGAGGUCAAAUUAGUAAAAGGCAAACUUGUCUUAAAGCAACCAAGCAAACUGCUCAAUAUGCUUGAAACUAUUCACAGAAGAAAACAAAGGUUAACGUAAUGUUUAGGGUUUAGGAUUUAUUAUUUAGUGUCUAGGGUUUAUGUUGGAGGUUUAGACACUACAUGCAAAAUGAUGCAGGUAACAGUCACAGAUGCUUUAGUUAGUUGAAAGGUCAUGGGCAAGGAGGGGCCCUUGGAAAUGCUUUAACGGGAAAGAUGCUAUUCUAAUCCUGCUCGAAUGAUGGGGACAAGAAAGUGACAUAAGUUGUAGUUGCAAGAUUUUAACUGCAUGUAAGAGACCAAACAAUAAAUAAAUGACUCCUAUAGGUCAAUGCUUUUAAUAAAGAGAAUCCAAUGACUCAAAAAUAUGCUAAAGGGGCUUAAUAGCUAGGGGGUGACCAAUGCAACAUAUAAUAGGGCCAGGUUGUUGUAAGGCCUUUUCUAUUUUUGGCAAGCUAAAAUUGUGUCUCCACCAGUUAUGAUUGAUAAUACUAGUUUCUGAUUUAAAACUGUUACUUUCUAUCCUAAUGUCAAUCCACAACCCAAAGUAUAAAAGAUGACAACUGCCCCCAUUUUUGUUCUGAUAAAGAAAGCAACCAAAUAAAGAGGAAAAAAGAAAAAGAAAAAAAAAUCAGAGAACGGAGAAGAAACAAAAGAAUAAAUCUUUUAUGUCAAACCAUUUCUUUUGUUAAUGCAUAAAUUACCAUGACUGCUCACUCCGUAUUUUAGCAGACUGAAUGCAAGGAAAUAAAUCCUAAUACGAAAACCCUUCCACAUAAUCCUUGUCCUAAUACGAUCCCUUAAUGAGCAUCAUAUAUACCCUUGAAAAGCCUACUACUUCUGGGUAUGUAUUAAUCAAGUGUAGGAAUGGAAUAUGAUCUUAGUUUACUUAGUACUUUUGGUCCAAGACCUUUUCCAUGUGAUUCAUACAAACAAACGCAUUUUAUUCCCCGUUUUUCUCAUUUGAGAAUUGAUAUUUUAUCUUUAUUUGUAAACCUUAACCUUAAACCCUCCAUGAAAGCCAAUAGCUCCAGACAUAUGCAUGAGUCAAAACCAGCCCCAAAGGAACCAUUAAGGAGAAUAAUAUACCACAGAAGAUGAGAGCAAUGACUAGCUAAUGCUGGUGAAAGCAAAGGGAUUAAUAAAAAGCAACAGACCUCAUCAGCACCAACAUUAGCCUUAUCAAAUAAAAGUAGGGCUACUUAGAUGCAUUUGCAAGUUUAAAGAGCAUACUUAAAAGAUAGGUAAAUCUGAAAAACAUAUAUGCAAAGACUUUAGAGGCACCCAGCUUAAUUGAAAGAAGAAGAAAGAUGAGAAUUGACAUAGAUCAGGAAUACGUGAAGAUCUAUGGAAUGAUAAAAUGGCACAAAAUGAACAACAUUUAGACAAUGAGAAGCUCGCGAUUAAGCAUGAAAAACCCAAAACACAUGGAAAAAAAAAGAUUCCCUGCUGGUUAUGUUUGGGGAAGUUAAUUGUAAUGUAUUGAAUCUCAGUCUAGCUAAAAGUAAGCACUAAUGCCAAUAUGACAAUUAAGGAGAAAACAUAAUAAGGAAAAGUUCAUAAUAAAAAUUGAAAAACACCGUGUUAUAAAAGAUUUUUUCUAACAUCACUAUAAACCCAACAACUUUAAUAUCUACUAAUUAUCACUCCAGUCCAUAUAUCUGAUCCCCAAUCAUUCUCCCUUCACAUAUAUUGUUUAAAGUUUUAAACCCAAAACAAUCCUCAAUCAUAUCAUAUUCAAUUUGCACACCCACUAGAUGCCAGUCCCAAAGUCGUGGGCCCAAUUAAAUAUAAAUAAUUUGUAUACAUUAUUAAAAAAUAUUUAGCAUAAAUAUAUUCUGAUUUGUACAACAUCUUUUGAAAUUUAGGAGAAUUGUAGCCUUCAUCUUAUAAGAUGAGGUUUGCACUCACUUAUACAUUAUGAAAUGUCCUAAUCUCUAGUCGAUGUGGGAUCUCCAUCACACCCUCACGUCAAGACUCUCAACUCGUGCGUGAGACUAUAUAUUAUGGGUGGUUCGAUAGCAGCUUGAUAAACCCAACAAACUCUCGCUAUGAUAGAUUCUAAAUGGCUUUGAUACCAUAUUAAGAAGUGAACUUUAAGCCUAACUCAACCUUAUAAAACUGGCUUAUAAGGCGAGAUUUGCACCAACUUAUAUACUAUGAAAUGUCCUAAUCUCUAGUCGAUAUAGGAUUUUCAACACUCACAACUCAUUAAGUUAAGACCAUUUUGAAAGGGAAAGGUCAUUUAAUAGAUGAUGCCUUUGCGGAAGAUGAUCCUACAUUCAAGUCUUGGGAUGAAGAAGACUCCAUGAUCAUGGCAUGCUUAUGGAAUUCAAUGGUUCCAGAAAUCAAUGACACAUGUAUGUUCCUCAAUUCAACAAAAGCAAUAUGGUUCACAAUAGAGGAAACAUAUUAUAAGGAAAAGGAUGUUGCACAAAUUUAUGAUGUGAAGGUGAAAACCAUGGCUGCCAAACAAGGCACCAAAACUAUUACUGAGUAUGCUAAUCGGCUUAAAGUUUUAUGGAUGGAAUUGGAUCACUAAGGAUUCAACAAUUCUAAAAAAGGACAUUGAAUAGGAUCAAGUGUAUAAUAUUUUGGUAGGUCCAAACAAAGAAUAUGAUCAAGUCAAAAUUCAAAUAUUGGGAGUCAUGGCAAUUAUUCAGGGUGAAUAAAGUAGGAGGAGUCUAAUGCUACAGACUCCUGUUGUAGAAAGUUUAGCAAUGGUUGCUAAAGGAACAACAUCCAUGGUCAGGACCAAAGAAAAGGAGUCUUACUUACAAAGAUGGAAAAGAAAAAUGAAGGAGUAUGGUGUACUUAUUGGUCUAUGUGGAUGAUAUCAUUGUUAUGGUAAAUGACUAAAAGGAGCAACAAAGGUUAAGACAAUGUCUUGGCAAAGAAUUUGAAAUCAAGACUUUAGGAAAGUUGAAAUAUUUUUUUAGAAUUGAAGUAGCUCAUUCCAAGAAAGGGAUCUUCACAUCUCAGCUAAAAUACAUUACAAAUUUGUUACAAGAAUCAGCCAAAACAGCCUGCAAACCAACAAGCACACUUAUUGAUCCAAAUUCAAAGUUGGGAAGUGCAGAGGAUGAUGUUGUUAUGGAUAAAGAAGUGUACCAGAGACUUGUAGGAAGACUUAGUUAUCUAUCUCACACUAGACCAGAUAUUGCUUUUGUUGUGAUCUAUAGUCAGCCAAUUUAUGCAUCAACUAAAGGAAGCACAUUUACAAGUUGCUCUUAGAAUUGUCCAAUAUUUGAAAGGAACACCAGAAAGAGGAAUUUUAUUCAGAACAAACAAGGGCAUAUAAUGAUGUUAGUUAGGUUCAGUUGUGUAUAGGAGGUCAACUACUAGAUAUUAUACCUUCCUUGGUGGAAACCUAGUAACUUGUUAGAGUAAAAAACAAAGUAGUGCUGAAGCACUCAAGGAAUAUGUGAAAUGUUAUGGCUUAAGAUUAUAUUGGAGGACUUGAUGAUAAAGUGGGAUGAACCUAUGAGGUAUAUAUUAUGACAAUAAAUCUGCAAUCACUAUAGCUCACAGCCCAGUGCAACAUAAUACUAAUAGAACUAAACAUAUUGAAGUGGAGAGACAUUUUAUCAAAGAAAAGCUUGAUAGUGGCAUGAUUUGCACUCCAUAUGUGUCUACUCAAGGACAGCUUGCAGACAUACUUAUCAGGGGGCUGAAAAACAGUAACUUAGAAAGAAUUCUAUUCAAGCUGAGAAAGGACACCAACUAGAGAGGGAAUAUCAAGAUAUUUUAGGAAGUUUCAAAUUUGAUUCCUUUUUAUUUUUUUAAUUUUGUAUAUUGGUUGUAUCUUGUUUUUAUUACUAGCAUAUCAAUCCCAUAAUCUCAAGGAUUUGUUUCCCAAAAUAGGCAGUGCUUGUUUCCAAAUUUAUCCAAUUAAUGUAUGUAUAUAAGAUGUAAGUAAAUGAAACUGAAUAAGAGAAAUUAUUUUCUUCUAAGCUUGAGAAUGGUAUCAGGAAGGAUGGUAAUGACAUUAAUGUUGCCCUUGAUGGUGGUAGUAACAAUGAUGGUGAUCAUAACGAGAAGGGUCUUUACCAAAAAUAGCAAGGGUAGGUUUUGCCAAAACUAAACCAAAUUUGCAAAUAAUUUUCUUGGUUUAGAAAAUGAAUGUAAAAAAGUUUCAAAAUUAAGUAAUAAAUCAUUUCAACUCCAUUUUGGCAAACACUUUCUGUUUUGAAAAAUGCAUUUGAAGAGCACCAACUCAACCAUUUCAAACAGGACCUAAUGCAUGCACUCUUUUGUUGUUGUGACAAUAACAACUCACAUUGUUACCCUAAAAUGAAUUUUCAACUUUCUUAAUUCAUUAUAUUACAGCCGAGGUUACUGCACAUCCCAAUUUUCUUGCAAACAUUAUCCCAACAUUGCAAUCAACAUACAAUAAAGCAAGUGAUAUCAAUAAUACAAAGUUAAUGAAUACCUUUAAUUUAAGGAGAAGUUCCAUGAAAUCUACUUAAAUGAUACACACUCCCUUGAAAUCUUCUUAAGUGACAUUCAUACUCCCUCUAGAUUUUAAUUAGACACUCACUUCUAUGGUGUUUUUAAUAAAGUAACACUUACCCUUUAUUUGAUUAAUAAAGGGACAAAUACACCCCUUCUUUGAUGCUACGAGAAGAAGAGUAUUUUUUUAAAACUAGAGGGGGUAAGAAAGAUAUGUGCAAUUUUCCCUCAAUGCAACAAUAAUUCUUUAAGAAAUGGCCAAGGGUUAACCCCCAUUCAGCUAUAGCAAACCACUAUUUUCCAACUCUUAGCUAUACUUCAUAUAUAACUUUGAAAGAGUAAUAUACCUUCAAUAUUCCAUCAAAAAAGUCAAUCCACAAUUAGUUAGAGGAUCCAAAAUAACCACAAAAGAGUUCAACAGAGAUAUUUAUUCUAAAGAGGUUUAGAGUCACGCAUAAUGGAAAGCAUCAAAUGGUCUGUGAUUGAGCCUCCAAUAAUAUAAUAUUCACUUCAACCUCCCCACUAGUUCUUCUAAACUAUGAAAACCUGCUAGAGAUUUCCCAUUCCUCUCCACCUAUCCAUAAGUUUUUAUUUUGUAACAUGUUUUGCAUGUUAGAUCACAUGCACCAAUCUCAAACACUCUGAAUCAAUUGUUUCAAAAUUAUUGUCGUACAAUUAUAAAUUAUAGAUAGGAUAUUUUGAGUUUUUAGAAAUUGACCAUGGAAGUUGCAGAAAAUUCAAUUGCAGUGUGGAUAAGAGUUCUUAUUUACCUCAUAAACAGUAAAUGCGACCUCAACUGGCCCAUUUGUGUACACUUCUGCCAUUAUAUCAUGGGGAUUAGAGUUGACCGUGUAGGCAUUGACACUAAAGUGCUUUGACUUCUUCCACAGCUGGUUCCCCCCAUCUACACAUUUUUUAACACACUUGGGAGUCC
Molecule: long non-coding RNA, 13259 nt
Filed under: Phaseolus vulgaris (common bean)
Lineage: Eukaryota; Viridiplantae; Streptophyta; Magnoliopsida; Fabales; Fabaceae
Description: long non-coding RNA (PVUL_LNC005261)
Source: RNAcentral